GCGGCGUGCUUAACACAUGCAAGUCGAACGAUGAUCAGGAGCUGCUCCUGUGAUUAGAGGCGAACGGGUGAGGAACACGUGAGUAACCUGCCCCUGACUCUGGGAUAAGCGUUGGAAACGACGUCUAAUACUGGAUACGACUGCCGGCCGCAUGGUCUGGUGGGGAAAGAUUUUUUGGUUGGGGAUGGACUCGCGGCCUAUCAGCUUGUUGGUGAGGUAAUGGCUCACCAAGGCGACGACGGGUAGCCGGCCUGAGAGGGUGACCGGCCACACUGGGACUGAGACACGGCCCAGACUCCUACGGGAGGCAGCAGUGGGGAAUAUUGCACAAUGGGCGAAAGCCUGAUGCAGCAACGCCGCGUGAGGGAUGACGGCCUUCGGGUUGUAAGCCUCUUUUAGUAGGGAAGAAGCGAAAGUGACGGUACCUGCAGAAAAAGCACCGGCUAACUACGUGCCAGCAGCCGCGGUAAUACGUAGGGUGCAAGCGUUGUCCGGAAUUAUUGGGCGUAAAGAGCUCGUAGGCGGUUUGUCGCGUCUGCUGUGAAAUCCCGAGGCUCAAACUCGGGCUUGCAGUGGGUACGGGCAGACUAGAGUGCGGAAGGGGAGAUUGGAAUUCCUGGUGUAGCGGUGGAAUGCGCAGAUAUCAG
Molecule: ribosomal RNA, 647 nt
Filed under: uncultured Actinomycetes bacterium
Lineage: Bacteria; Bacillati; Actinomycetota; Actinomycetes
Description: bacterial SSU rRNA
Rfam family: Bacterial small subunit ribosomal RNA
Source: RNAcentral